UUGGAGGGCAAGUCUGGUGCCAGCAGCCGCGGUAAUUCCAGCUCCAAUAGCGUAUAUUAAAGUUGCUGCAGUUAAAAAGCUCGUAGUUGAAUUUCGGGACUAAUAUGUCGGUCGUGCCUCGGUACGUACUGGCUUAUUGGUUUCUCCUUUCUGAAGAACCAUGAUGUCAUUUAUUUGGUGUCGUGGGGAAUCAGGACUGUUACUUUGAAAAAAUUAGAGUGUUUAAAGCAGGCUCACGCUUGAAUACAUUAGCAUGGAAUAAUGAAAUAGGACGUUUGAUUCUAUUUUGUUGGUUUCUAGGAUCGACGUAAUGAUUAAUAGGGAUAGUUGGGGGCAUUAGUAUUCAAUUGUCAGAGGUGAAAUUCUUGGAUUUAUUGAAGACUAACUACUGCGAAAGCAUUUGCCAAGGAUGUUUUCAUUAAUCAAGAACGAAAGUUAGGGGAUCGAAGACGAUCAGAUACCGUCGUAGUCUUAACCAUAAACUAUGCCGACUAGGGAUCGGAUGAUGUUAAUUUUUUAAUGACUCAUUCGGCGCCUUACGGGAAACA
This 548-nucleotide ribosomal RNA is filed under the name uncultured Glomus. RNAcentral describes it as "SSU rRNA". It matches the Rfam family "Eukaryotic small subunit ribosomal RNA", at positions 548 to 1099 of the family's 1831-position model. The record is from RNAcentral. Lineage: Eukaryota; Fungi; Glomeromycota; Glomeromycetes; Glomerales; Glomeraceae.